Molecule: long non-coding RNA, 457 nt
Organism: Sander lucioperca (pikeperch)
Lineage: Eukaryota; Metazoa; Chordata; Actinopteri; Perciformes; Percidae
Exons: 3
Source: RefSeq, a predicted model, not a curated record
AAUAAAAGUCAGCAGGUUCAGCGCCCUCCACAUCAGCAGGUAACACAGGGAAAGCAAAAGAAAAGUCGAGCCAAAUGUCACUUCAAGACACGUUUGCUAGAGGAACUCCCUACAACAGAAAGAGCAAACGGUGGAUCGAGAUUACAAACUCUAUCACUAUCCACCUAGCCGAAGACAUGGCCCCGCUUAAUACAGUCGAAGGCUUCACUCGGCCGUGCUAACGUUAAGACCUGUCACCUCAAGCAUGCAGCGGAGCAACCUAAUGAACGCAAUAACAAUCCACCUACGGUCCCACUACAGACCGUCGAGAAAGACGGGCUCAGAGCAAUGAUUAAAACACUGGAUUUAAGAUGUCUUGCCUCGCCGAAAUACUUCCGCCAAACCACUAAGGUUAUUCAAACACCGAAGCAAGCUGACAGCGGAGCUGGGCCCACUUUUCUACAACAACCUAACGUUA